Molecule: ribosomal RNA, 625 nt
Filed under: uncultured Gammaproteobacteria bacterium
Lineage: Bacteria; Pseudomonadati; Pseudomonadota; Gammaproteobacteria
Description: bacterial SSU rRNA
Rfam family: Bacterial small subunit ribosomal RNA
Source: RNAcentral
GGCGGACGGGUGAGUAAUGCCUAGGAAUCUGCCUGGUAGUGGGGGACAACGUUUCGAAAGGAACGCUAAUACCGCAUACGUCCUACGGGAGAAAGCAGGGGACCUUCGGGCCUUGCGCUAUCAGAUGAGCCUAGGUCGGAUUAGCUAGUUGGUGGGGUAAUGGCUCACCAAGGCGACGAUCCGUAACUGGUCUGAGAGGAUGAUCAGUCACACUGGAACUGAGACACGGUCCAGACUCAUACGGGAGGCAGCAGUGGGGAAUAUUGGACAAUGGGCGAAAGCCUGAUCCAGUCAUGCCGCGUGUGUGAAGAAGGUCUUCGGAUUGUAAAGCACUUUAAGUUGGGAGGAAGGGCAGUAAGCUAAUACCUUGCUGUUUUGACGUUACCGACGGAAUAAGCACCGGCUAACUCUGUGCCAGCAGCCGCGGUAAUACAGAGGGUGCAAGCGUUAAUCGGAAUUACUGGGCGUAAAGCGCGCGUAGGUGGUUUGUUAAGUUGGAUGUGAAAGCCCCGGGCUCAACCUGGGAACUGCAUCCAAAACUGGCAGGCUAGAGUACGGUAGAGGGUGGUGGAAUUUCCUGUGUAGCGGGUGAAAUGCGUAGAUAUAGGAAGGAACACCAGUGGCG